RNAcentral lists this transfer RNA (76 nucleotides) under Clostridiales bacterium. RNAcentral's name for it is "tRNA-Thr". It matches the Rfam family "tRNA". Rfam says of the family: Transfer RNA (tRNA) molecules are approximately 80 nucleotides in length. Their secondary structure includes four short double-helical elements and three loops (D, anti-codon, and T loops). The record is from RNAcentral. RNAcentral also lists the same sequence under 1 other name. Lineage: Bacteria; Bacillati; Bacillota; Clostridia; Eubacteriales.
GCUUCCAUAGCUCAGUUGGUAGAGCAACAGAUUCGUAACCUGUAGGUCGGGAGUUCGAUUCUCCCUGGAAGCUCCA